RNAcentral lists this unclassified non-coding RNA (147 nucleotides) under soil metagenome. Its description in RNAcentral is "partial internal transcribed spacer 1". The record is from RNAcentral.
UAAUAAGUGUUUUAUGGCACUUUUUAGAUCCAUAUCCACCUUGUGUGCAAUGUCGGUCGAUCUUCUUUUUUUGAGGAUCGACCAAACAUCAACCUUUAUCUUUUAACUCUUUGUCUGAAAAAUAUUAUGAAUAAACAAUUCAAAAUA